ACGUCAUGUUAUAACCGUUGUGCUCCACUUGUCACAGUUGAAUUAUAGCCGUUGUCCUCCUGAUUCCUAUCAUUCCCUUCCCCUUAAAACCCUUGUCCUCAAGGAUUGAAUUCUAGAAACCUGCUAUGUAACACCGACCAGUCCUCCCAGGUGGAGUCCUUUGGAAUGGUGUUCAACCACUGCACCAAGACCUGACUUAUAGCUUGAUUAUUCCGCUUAAUCAGUUUGCGGUCCAAGAUUGCUAUGGGCUCGACUAACAACUAUCCUUCGGAACCAAUUUCUGGAAGUGUAGUUGUUGGUACCACAGCUUGGCCGAGCUUUCUCUUAAGUAGGGACACAUGAAAGAUAGGAUGGAUUUUUAAAUGUGGUGGAAGCUUCAAACGUCGCUCACAAUUGUUGAAGGAAGACCAUGCAGUUUAAAGAUGUUAUCAAAAUAUGCAGUGGCCACCAAGGAGGUUGUAUAGGGGUGAGCGAGGGCCACCAAAUGUGCAUACUUGGUAAGUCGAUCCACCACCACCAGUAUAACUUCCUUUCUGUCUGAUUUUGGAAGUCCAAUGAUGAAAUCCAUUAAAAUAUCAGACCAAAUUUUUUGAGGAACAGGUAGGGGUUGUAACAAACCUGGGUAAGCUAUGUUUUCUCCUUUAUUGCAUUAACAAGGAUCGCAUUCAAAUACAAACUCACAAACAUCUGCAUUGAGUUUUGGCCAAAAAAAAAAUUGAGCAACUCUUUUGGCGGUGCCCGUGAUUCCUGAAUGUCUGCCUAUGCUGCUGGAACGUAAUGCUGAUAUGAUAGUCUUCCUCAAAGUACCUGUAUUACCAACAACUAACUUCCCUUUGAAUCGUAAUACCCCAUCCUGCCAUUUGUAGUCUGUAGAUGCAUUUGGAUCAAUGGACAGCUGAGUUAUAAUUUCUUGGACCUUACGGUCCUCUUCCCAACUUGCCUGGACCUCCUGCAACCAUGUUAGAACCAAAGCUGAAAUAGCUCUACAUUCACUCAUUGUACUAGGAAGCCUGUAGAGUGCAUUAGCUUCUACAUUUUCCUUUCUAGAUUUGUAACAAAUCUCAUAGUCGUAUCCCAAGACUUUUGUUAACCACUAUUGUUGUAACAACGUAGUGACUCGUUGCUUUAAAAAAAUUUCAGGCUUUGGUGAUCAGUUCUGAUAAUGAAAUAGUGGCCCAAGAGGUAAGUUCUCCA
Macadamia integrifolia is the source of this 1194-nucleotide long non-coding RNA. RefSeq lists it as uncharacterized. Lineage: Eukaryota; Viridiplantae; Streptophyta; Magnoliopsida; Proteales; Proteaceae. The record is from RefSeq and is a predicted model, not a curated record. The transcript has 2 exons.